CCUACGGGAGGCUGCAGUGGGGAAUAUUGCACAAUGGGGGAAACCCUGAUGCAGCAACGCCGCGUGAAGGAAGACGGUUUUCGGAUUGUAAACUUCUGUUCUUAGUGAAGAAUAAUGACGGUAGCUAAGGAGCAAGCCACGGCUAACUACGUGCCAGCAGCCGCGGUAAUACGUAGGUGGCAAGCGUUAUCCGGAUUUACUGGGUGUAAAGGGAGCGUAGACGGAAAGGCAAGUCAGAAGUGAAAACCCAAGGCUCAACCAUGGGACUGCUUUUGAAACUGUCAAACUUGAGUACUGGAGAGGCAGACGGAAUUCCUAGUGUAGCGGUGAAAUGCGUAGAUAUUAGGAGGAACACCAGUGGCGAAGGCGGUCUGCUGGACAGCAACUGACGCUGAGGCGCGAAAGCGUGGGGAGCAAACAGGAUUAGAUACCCUUGUAGUC
This 441-nucleotide ribosomal RNA is filed under the name uncultured bacterium. RNAcentral describes it as "partial 16S ribosomal RNA". It matches the Rfam family "Bacterial small subunit ribosomal RNA", at positions 338 to 795 of the family's 1533-position model. The record is from RNAcentral.